Molecule: long non-coding RNA, 537 nt
Organism: Triticum dicoccoides
Lineage: Eukaryota; Viridiplantae; Streptophyta; Magnoliopsida; Poales; Poaceae
Exons: 2
Source: RefSeq, a predicted model, not a curated record
UUUAGAAAUUAUUAACAUGGAAUACAUAAUAUACUUUAUCUGUAUGAGGUUAAUUCUUAUUUUUUUAAAUCUAUUUGUUAAAUGUUGGCAGGCAGAGUAUAUACUCCAGUUUAUCCUGAAUUUGAAUUUGGGUGUACGUGAUCUUACUUUUUUUUUGCGGGAAGUGUACAUGAUCUUCCUAGCUUCUAAUUCUACUGAGCUAUACUGAUGAUGGUGUGUUUGCUCUCACACAUUUAUUCAAAGGACCAUUAUGAUGAAUGAUGUCCAAUUCUAGGUUGCUGGAACUUGCAUCCAAUCCUGCUAUUCCCAACUGGUGUGUUUAUAGGUUGCAGUGCUAGUCGUGGUCUCCUCCUGAUGGAGCUCUGUAUACGCCCUUAUUGUUUAGCUAAAAAUCCCUUCUCUCCUAAGAUCUUGUAAGAAUCUUUCUUUUUUUCUUAAGAAGCAUGCUAUCAAUGGACGGCAGAUGCUGCAGCACCGAAAAGUUGGUGACCAUGCUUGGUGUUUAAGAGCGCAUAUGAAAAAUAUUUAUCUUUUUUA